GAGGUUAAGAAGAAGUUCCACUUCUCACCUUACAACAUUGUUAGUAAGGUUAAAGUCCAAAAGCAUUGUUUUUAUGGGCAGGUGGAUAUUUCUACCUGCUUUUUUAUUUUAAA
Molecule: non-coding RNA, 113 nt
Organism: Clostridia bacterium BRH_c25
Lineage: Bacteria; Bacillati; Bacillota; Clostridia
Source: Rfam